Molecule: ribosomal RNA, 526 nt
Filed under: Pseudozizeeria maha (pale grass blue)
Lineage: Eukaryota; Metazoa; Arthropoda; Insecta; Lepidoptera; Lycaenidae
Description: partial 16S ribosomal RNA
Rfam family: Archaeal large subunit ribosomal RNA (bases 392-526)
Source: RNAcentral
AAAACAUGUCUUUUUGAUUUUAAUUUAAAGUCUAAUCUGCCCACUGAUUUAUAUUGAAGGGCUGCAGUAAUUUGACUGUACAAAGGUAGCAUAAUCAUUAGUCUUUUAAUUGAAGACUUGUAUGAAGGAUUUGAUAAAAUAUAAACUGUCUCUAAUUUAUAUUUAAAAUUUAAUUUUUUAGUUAAAAAGCUAAAAUAAAUUUAAAAGACGAGAAGACCCUAUAGAGUUUUAUAAUUUAUAAUUUAAAAUAUUUAUAUAAAAUUUUAAUAUAAUAGAUUAUAAUUUAUUUUAUUGGGGUGAUAGAAAAAUUUAUAAAACUUUUUUUUUUCAUUAACAUAAAUAAUUGAAUAUAUGAUCCUAAAUAAAGAUUAAAAGAAAAAAUUACCUUAGGGAUAACAGCGUAAUUUUUUUUUUUAGUACAAAUAAAAAAAAAAGUUUGCGACCUCGAUGUUGGAUUAAGAUAAAAUUUAAAUGCAAAAGUUUAAAAUUUUGAUCUGUUCGAUCAUUAAAAUCUUACAUGAUCUGA